GGGAAAAUAACGCGGGAAACUUAGGCGGGAAAAAUUGCACUGCUCGUCCGUCGUUAUCGCGUGCAUGUGGCGGGAACAAAUACAGCAGGCAGCCUCCGUUCCUAAAUAUAAGUCUUUUUAGAUAUUUUACUAGAUGACUACAUACAAAGCAAAAUGACAGAAUCUACAUUCUAAAAUGAGUCCAUAUACAUCCAUAUGUAGUCUUCUAGUAAAAA
RNAcentral lists this long non-coding RNA (215 nucleotides) under Hordeum vulgare. RNAcentral describes it as "long non-coding RNA (HVUL_LNC014919)". Lineage: Eukaryota; Viridiplantae; Streptophyta; Magnoliopsida; Poales; Poaceae. The record is from RNAcentral.